AAAGUUGGAGAGGUGGAGGGAGGAAAUGGGGAGGUGGAGGGAGUAACACCCAUCAGCGUCCAGGUGCAGCAGCUUCUAAGUAGUGCAUUGUAGUGUUUCCCUAAAGAAGAUUCAGCACAUAAAGCUGCCCAAUUUGUGCAAUUAAAGUAUCAUUCAGUCCAAUGCUAAUUGUAGCAACACAGUGGCCCAGUAAUGUCGGCCCAAAUCAACGUAAUCAUCUUUCCAUUUUCUUCCAAUUAACAUCAGCG
This 248-nucleotide long non-coding RNA is filed under the name Vigna radiata. RNAcentral describes it as "long non-coding RNA (VRAD_LNC012406)". Lineage: Eukaryota; Viridiplantae; Streptophyta; Magnoliopsida; Fabales; Fabaceae. The record is from RNAcentral.